This 4416-nucleotide non-coding RNA is filed under the name Cordylochernes scorpioides. The record is from RNAcentral. Lineage: Eukaryota; Metazoa; Arthropoda; Arachnida; Pseudoscorpiones; Chernetidae.
AGCUAUAGAGAGGGGGUGCUAUAGAAAGGUCACCUUUAAUGUAAAAUGCUUCUGUUACGUAUUUUUAAAUGAGCGUUAUAGAUAGGGAGGCGCUAUUUAGAGGUGGCGCUAUAGACAGGUUUAACUGUAUAUAUUACAUUAUUGUGACAUAUACAGUAACCUCUGUAGUGGAUCUGUAGAUAAUAUAUUAACUAAGGAUGACAUCAUACGAAUGGUUCAAUGAGAAGCUAAAGUUGAAAUGGAAGAAGAAGAUAUCGAGCCAGGAAAUCACUUUCUCUUUUACUUUUCUUCUUUCAAAGAAUAUUUACCAAAGAAUUGAAUAUUUUGAAGAAUAAUGUGAAGAAUACCGAGGGCCAACAGCCCGAAACGCGUACGUGAUUAGAUUUUCUUGAUUUAUAAAGAAAUUGGUUUGGCCAAAUAACACUGUACAAGUUAAAUAAACGUUUAGUUUAUUUUUGUUCCACUAGAUGGCGCUCUGCAAUCUAGAUAUGAUCAUGUGAGCACGGUCAGGAUAUGCCUUUUUUAUUUUUAAUAUAUUCAUAUAUUUAGAUAAUAAAAAGGCAUAAAAAAUAUGAAUUGCUCUAUUUUCAGAACUAUAUUCAUAUGUGUUCAUGAAUAUUAGUAUUUACUUAAAUUAGUAUUGUUAUAUAUGAUUAUUUAUUAAGCAUUGAGAACGUAAAGAAUAAAGGAGAUAGAUGCAGACGACAGUUCACUCGGCGACAANNNNNNNNNNNNNNNNNNNNNNNNNNNNNNNNNNNNNNNNNNNNNNNNNNNNNNNNNNNNNNNNNNNNNNNNNNNNNNNNNNNNNNNNNNNNNNNNNNNNCCAGAAAUGAGAAAAAAACGAGAUUUAAAGAAGGCGAGUUCUUUUCCAUGCCUAUAUCCUUAAAUAUUUUAUCAAUAGAAUAAAGAAAACAAUAUUUUUAUUUCAAUUUUUUUACAAUCUGGAAAGAAUCAUUGUCAACAUUUUGGUUGAUAUUAUUGUAAUUCUCACUGCUGAGCAAUUUCGCGAAACUAUUUAUAGCAAUACUUAGGUCCCGCCUAGUCAAAUGGAAUGAAACUAAUGAUAUUAUCCCAGAGAAUCAAGCGGGCUUUAGAUCUGCUCACUCAUGUCAAGAUCAUAUUUUCAUAUUGACGUCUGUAAUCCAACUUGCCCUAAGGAAGAAAAGAGGUAAAUGUUACUCCUUCUUUGUAGACUCAAAAAAAGCUUUUGAUACGGUUCCUCACGCAUUGCUAUGGACAAAACUAGUCAAAAUAGGACUGAAUCGCCGAUUUGUCAACCUAAUUAAAUGUUAUUAUGAAGACAUGACCGCUGCGUUUCGUUGGAACAAUUCUAUCACUGAAUUCAUUGAAAUUCGUUCGGAGGUGCUCCAAGGUGACCCACAAUCCCCAUGCCUAUUCCUACUCUUUAUUAAUGAUUUGAUUAAAAUAUUUGAUGACUCGGGGUUGUCAGGAAGAUACUUACCCAAUUUCGGAAACAUACACCUCCUCCUAUAUGCCGACGAUAUUUUUUUGAUCGGUGAUACUAAAAUAAACCUUAAAUUGAAAAUCAAUGUACUGAAAACCUAUCUAGAAACUAACUUACUAACUCUGAACGAAAACAAGCCAAGAAUAAUGGUUUUCCGUAAUGGUGGAAAGGUGGCGCGUUCAUAAAGAUGGUAUUGGGGUCAAAGUCCUUUAAGUGUUGCAUCAAAAUAUUCGUACCUGGGCUACCCGCUCACCCCUUCGAUUUCUUUAAAUUAUAGAGGCAGGACCAUGGCCGCGAUGGGUGCUGUGGGGGAGAUUAUUCUGAGGUCUAAGCUCAAAUCCUUCCACGCGAGUAUGAGAUUGUUGGAUUCUAUGAUCUUGACAGUCCUACUCUAUGCGGCUCCAAUCUGGGCACAUGAUCAAGCCUUAAUCUUAAAUAGAAUCCAGGAUACCUUUCUCAGACGUUUUCUGUGCCUUCCAAGCUAUAAUCCGGGCUAUAUUUUGAGGGCCGAAACAGGAAGAAACUCUCUUGAUAUCACAGUGAAAAAACUAACUUUAAAAUUCUGGACUAGAAUUCUGAAAAUGGACGGUAGCAGGCUACCUUCAAUUUGUUUGGCACAUUUGUGGGACAUUUCAAUUUCUUCAAAACAGAAUAUCGGACUGGUAAAAAGUAUAACAGCGCUACUCAAUACCACCGGUUUCUCAUGGCUUGUUGGAUGUACAGACUUCAAUAUUCUACAAAGAUACAUCCCCCUAAUUAUUAGAACGGCAACCGAUCAGUCUUUGCAGAUGGAUUAUGUAAGAAUAAGAAAAUCAGUAUUCUACUCCCACUAUAAAUACUUUCACUCAUCACCUACAAUGUAAUGCUAUCUGAAUGACAAUAUCCCCCUAACCUUAAAGAGAAUCAUUGCACAAGUAAGAAGCCUUUUUGUAGAACAGAGAAUUAAUCAUGUUUCCCUAUUGAAAACUAGGACCAUAAAAUGCACCUUAUGCAACGGUGAAUUUAGUCUCGAAUUUCCACACUACAUGUUCUACUGUACGGCAAUGGAAGAAGAAAGAGAAAUUCUUCGUCAAGAGUCCGGCUAUAAUAGCAAUUCGCCUUAUGUUAUAAUGGCAAAAGUCGUAAAAUCUAGACCCUUUGCAUUCGCUUUUUAUAAAUACUGGAAAUCAUCUCAAGAAAAAUGUUUAGCACAGACACCGGCUCCAACUUGAUAAUUGGUCGAGGUCAAUACCCAAUAUUUGUAUAUAAAAUGAUGCUAAUUUGUUAAUUAUUCAUUUUGUCCUACCGGGAGAAUCUUGUAUGGCACGUGUGCCCAAUAAAAGCUAUUGUUGUUGUUGUUGAUAUUAGUGUAAUUUAAGAUUUCAUUUCAAAAUAACAAAGUAGAGGGAAUUUGCAAGCCGCGACUCUCUCUGUCAAUAAAAUAUAACAAUUCUAUAAAUAUAUCCAUCUUUAAAAUAAAAGUAGACAUAUCCUGACCACAAGCACAUGUACACUUUAGAAUGCAGAGCUCCAUCUAUUGGAACAGAAAUCAACUAAACGUUGAUUAAGCCUGAUCCACUAGAUGGCGUUCUACCAUCUAAAAAUCUCAUGUGCUCGUGGUCAGGAUAUUUCUCUUUUGAUUUUAAUACCAACACCUGACCUUUUUAUUAUUUUUUAAAAUUAUUUUUCACAAAUCCAUCUUUAUCAAACUUAAAUUAGUUCAAAUAUUUUUCGAUAAGCAUUUAGACCAGAAUUUGUGUUUUAAUAGAAAUAAUAAUAUUUGACCAUGGGUUGAACGAUAAGGAGAUGCCUUUUUAAUAAGUUAUUAUUAUAUGUUAUAAGUGAAAUAAGAAAGAGAAAACGCUGCUGUGACUAUGUCAACAUCAUUUCGAAAGCUCUUGUAAUGUAAAGACAAUUAUGUUAGUUUUCAACUACCCUGAUUCCAGUUGACAGUCCUGAUGCAUUCUUUCUCUUUAGGCAUUCGUUGAACAUGUAUCCUAACGUAAUAAACCUACAAACUGAAUAUGGAAUGGACAGAAAAAAUGAGAGAAUUUAAUUAUUGGGCGACCUAACUGGGUUUUCUUGAACUUUUCCUCUGACCACUGACAUUACAUUACUUUGAUUUCAUCUACUUGCAUAGCAAUUUAUCUAAUCGGAGGCCAUGAUUAUUCCUCCUGCAAAAUCAGAAAACUUCUUUAUGACUCUCACUGUCCUGGCAAUCAACACAACAAAGAUAUUAUAAUGCAUUAGCGCGCCAUCUGUUAUGAAAAUUCGAAACUAUUAUAGACGCGUAUGAUUCUUUUAGAAAUAAAACAAUUUAUACUACCCUUACUACUAGUACAAUGGAAAAUUAAGGGGAGGGCCUGGCUCAUCAGUGGUGAACCCUCCAAGCGGUUUCGCCAGAUUAAUCAUACCAUCUACCAUACCAUACCUGGCGAAAUCGAUGGGAGGGUUCACCACUGAUGACCCAUGCCCUCAUAUUAUAUUUUCCAUUGCAGUAAGGGCAGUAGAAAUUGUUUAAUCUUUAAAAGAAUCAUACGCGUCUAUAAUAGUAUCGAAUUUUCACAAUAAAUUUAAUCUUAAAACAAAAACAAGAUUAAUUAAUGAUACACNNNNNNNNNNNNNNNNNNNNNNNNNNNNNNNNNNNNNNNNNNNNNNNNNNNNNNNNNNNNNNNNNNNNNNNNNNNNNNNNNNNNNNNNNNNNNNNNNNNNCUCGACCUGUCUCCAUGUGACAAAUUGUUACUAAAAAAGCAGAAAGUUUUUGUGUCACUGAUAGACUAUCGACUUCCCGUUUAUAUUGAAUUAUCUCAGGGUGUUUGUUGAUAUGUCUUUAUAUUUCACCUUUCGUAGAACCUAACACAAUAUAACAGAAAACAUUUUAAAACUUAUUAUUUUCUAUAUAUAUAGUUUUCAAUAUUUGAAAAAUCGGUUCUGCUCUUCAUUGGAAAAUAAAGAAGUAUGGAGGAAAAUAA